UGGAAGGCGUCUUCUAUGUACAUAGUCCACCCUGACUCACAACUGCUGUAUUCCUCCUCCUCAGAGCCUCCAUGGUUCCUAGGAGACUCCAUGGCUAUGAGCAAGACAAAGAAGAAAACAAAAGUUAACGUUUCAGUAUCAGGAAAAGCCGGAGCCUAUAAGAAGCCUCAUAUAAUUGAAGAGCAGGAGUAAGUUUCCACAUGGCAACCCUAGCACCAUUGUUUUCACUCAAUUGAAGCACUAGCAGACAAAGCCAUUUGCAGAUAUAUAUCAAGGAAGGAAGGCUAUCUUAAAUAUAAAAGAUCAGCUUUUGAGGUGGAAAUCAGAAGAGACCCACCUCAACAAACAAGAUGGAAUAAAAGAGGCAUUUACUUAAUUAGGUUAAGAGCUGUUCCUCUUCCUCAUUCCUUUAAUACUCUUCUUCCUCCUCCAAUCCUCUCACUCUCUUUAAAAUUGUUGCAGCCUUUUCUUCAUCUCUCAUUGUAUUGAAAGGUGAAACCCAACUGGAUUUUUGUUUGUCAUUUUUUUUUUCCUGUAAAGAUAAGGACAAAACAAAAAGAAGUAUAACAACUGUCACACACAAAAAAGAAGGCAGAAUUUCCUUGGAAUUAAUAGAAUAAAACGUAUAAUGUUUGAG
Molecule: long non-coding RNA, 637 nt
Organism: Eutrema salsugineum
Lineage: Eukaryota; Viridiplantae; Streptophyta; Magnoliopsida; Brassicales; Brassicaceae
Exons: 3
Source: RefSeq, a predicted model, not a curated record